CUUGCCAAAGAAAUAGAUGAACGUUACGCUGGCCAUCUACCAUCCACUCAGUCUCGUGUUCCCUGUUUUGUCACGGAGGAUCUUAAUCAACAUGAAAUGCAGCAUCACAUCCUCACCUGACACCUGUGGUGCCGAAAGACUUCAUGACCAUGCUGUAUACCUCAAAGGCAGAGGGCCUCUGAAUACCAGAAGUGUUGAAUCGUGGCUUCCAUGGAUUAUUCAUCAUGGUUAAUGGACUUGAGCACCCAGGAAAUUGUGGUGAAAGCCUUUCAGGGCCUGGUGCUUUGACUUCCUUCCUAACAAAAUGCCCUCACCUUCCUUCUUGCAGAGUAUUUGCUUACCUUUACCUGUUCACAAGAUUUCUGUGAGGGUUUUAUUUUCUUUGUCUCCUGUCCUUCUGUCACAUUUAACCAAGUUGUCUCAAAUCUAUUUGGAGACUCAAAGACACAGAUAAGGACAUAAAACCACUGAAAAAGCUGAAGUGUUGUUUUCAUGGGAAACAACAACAAAAAAAUUUGUAUUUUCAAUAAAGCUGUAGGCAGAACGGUCCA
Molecule: long non-coding RNA, 551 nt
Filed under: Anser brachyrhynchus (Pink-footed goose)
Lineage: Eukaryota; Metazoa; Chordata; Aves; Anseriformes; Anatidae
Description: lncRNA (ENSABRG00000002568.1)
Source: RNAcentral